CUUUUCCGCGGGAAAAAUUAUUAGUAUCCACAUUUUAUGCAGUAUCUAUAGAAAUUUGAUGUACUUGAGUAUUUCUUGACUAAAAAAAGAAUGUGUGUGUACUUUGUACGCACGUAAGAAGUUAUAAUUCUAUUAUAUGAUUUAAACGAAAUUAAUAUACUUUUUAUUUAUAUUUUGUUUAAAUAUUAAACUAAUUUAUACUUACUACUUCUCAAACAUUUUUAUUAGAACAGUGCCAAAAAUUUAAAUAAUAAAAGAAUAAAACACACACAAACACAUUAAACAAGCCACAAAUGAUGUCUGAACAUUAAUUGUCGAAAAUUUUUUUAACUAAAUACGUAUUUUCUGAAAAUACAAUUAUAUAAUAAAUAUACUUACAAUCAUAAAAUGUAUUAAAAAAAACAAAAAAGAAAGUUUCUAUUGGGACUCGAACCAGCGCUGAUAAGAGCGGUUGGUAUUGGAAUUCAUUCGCCUUCUCCGCUUAGCCACGGACACUAUGUGUCAUUAUUUACGAAGAUCGACUAACUAAACGGAUUAAACUUGUGAUAUUUUGAUAUUUUGAAAAUUGAUCAAAUUAUUUUAAUUUUGAAUUGAAAUGAUUUAGAAUUGAAAAAAUACAACAAAACAGAGUAAAAAAACAAUAUAUUAGGUGAAUAUUGAUAGAAAUUUUGAUGGCAAUCAAAUAUUAUAUAAAUAAAAGUAUUACAUACUAUGUAUUUUGGCAGAUCAAAUAGGUAGGUUUAUACCCAUGAUACAUUAACAAUUAUUACGUACCUGUUGCUUUUAAACUAUUUAAAAGUCACUACAAUAUUAUAAACUUUUUCGUUUCUGUCCUCACAACAAUAAAACUAAUAUAUUAUACAUUUGUUUACCUUUACCUUUACCUCCAAACCACAGCUGCCAUAUCGGAUAAUUUUUGACAUGUCAUUUGAACAUCCAAUCAGAACAAAGUUAUAAUGCGCAUGCGCCGGGCUGAUAGGUUUUAACAUAUAAAAAAAUCACCCUCUAUCGCCGGUAAAGAAGUAUAACUUCAAAAAUUCGAUUUUUUAAUUAUAGAAGUUCUGAAUAUCUGUUAUUUUCAUUUUCAUGGUUUUCUUCUGAAACUUAUAAAGUAUUUAUCCAAAUUUUCAGCUCAUAAUUUUUAUUUUUAUUUCAUCAACAUCAUCAUCAUCAACAACUUUUUCAUUUAUUUUGCUGAUUUCUGUUAUUUCUAUUUUGUGUUCGGUCUUCGGUACAAGUUGUUGUCCAUUUUUGAUAAAAUCUUGUAUUUUCUUGCUGAAUUUUUUAAUUUUCUAUUCUUGUGCUGUUAAUAUUAUAGAAUUCAUUAAUUUUUAUUUAGGGUUUCAAGGUUUGACUCAUUGUCUAUUUGUUCAGUAAGUUCUGUCAGGUUUUGUUCGUAUUCGAUUUUCUCUAUUUUAGUUCGUACUUAUACAGUGAGGAUGUUUAGGUUGGAAUAAAUGCAUUUUCUCCAGAAGAGGUCAUUUUGGAGAUAAAUUCCUAAACAGGUCUAUUUUAUUUUUCUAGUUGAAAUUAUCGAUAUAAAUGUAUCAAUUAACAUUACAUUACAUAGUUUCCCAUCUUUAGGCAUCUGACAGGAGUAUUUUAUAAAAUUCUACUGUUAGAGUGACAGAUGUCGUACUCCUCUCAUACGUCUAAAAGUGGGAAAUUAUGCAAUGUAAUCUUAAUUUAUACAGUUAUAUUGAUAAUUUACACCUCUACUACUUUCAUCUCUUUUUACUUCACAAUGUAUUGUUUCCCAUCUUUUGCGUAACCGACAUUUUGUCGGUUAUUAGCGCUCUCAUCACUAUCCGCAGGGAGCGUUAACUUUGACACAUGGUCACGUGGUACACUGUGGAUGUUUGUGGGACGAUCUUAUGUGUAUUCCUUAUGGGUGAUUUGCAAAAACAAGAUAUUAUUUAAAAUAUUACUAUUAAUUUUGUACAAUUGUAUCAAUACAUCACAAGAAAUUCGCUAUAAAUACUAUAUAUGGUAGAAAAUGUCUGAUAUAAUACAUAAAUAUAAUUUCGAUAUACAAACUGAGGAAGAUAUUUUUAGGUUAACAGCCGAAAUGUGAGGUUACGGCUGUCAAGAAGGACUUCGUAAAUGCAAACAAAAGUUGCAAAGCCAGAAUUUGCCCAAUCUCAAAGCCUUUUUAAUUCCUAUAAAGUUGAAAUGUUGCUUCCUCUGCUUAAGUAUACUGUUUUUAACAUAAUACCACCAUAAUUCGGUCUUAAAUUUGUAUGAAAUAUAGUUUUUUAGUGAUAUUCACCAAGCAAAGUUUACAAACUUUUGUGACCCAUUCUAUUUUGUAUAAUAAAAAUGGUAAUGUGCUUUGCCCCGGAUUGUACACAAUAUUGUGAAAGAGGGAUAUGUAGAUUCUUUGUUGUUCCCAGGAUCUGGUUGAAAAGAAGACAUUGAUUUCAUUACUAAGGCACCCAGGAGAAGGGCAUGGCCCUAACCCUCAAAUAUGAGUAUUAUAGAAAAUUUACAGUUACCCAGGCAACCAUCCAAUGAGAAUCGUAGGAAAAUUAACAAUUCCACAGACAAUCAUCCAGUGACCACAUUGUCUCUUUUUGGACAUACCAUCUGACGCUUUCUGAAGAUCUUGGGGUGUAAAUAACCCAGGACAGCACCGGAAGAAGCCGUCAGACCACAGGCUAAAUUCCUUAUUAAAAUCUAUAGCUUGCCUAUAAACAGAGACAGACUAUUUUUAUAUAAAAUAACUUCAUUAGUUCUAACAUGUAGAUCUUGAACUGUGACCAUAAUAAAAUGAGAAAAUAAAGUGUUUAUACUGAA
This 2796-nucleotide long non-coding RNA is filed under the name Diabrotica virgifera virgifera (western corn rootworm). Its description in RNAcentral is "uncharacterized LOC126880576". Lineage: Eukaryota; Metazoa; Arthropoda; Insecta; Coleoptera; Chrysomelidae. The record is from RNAcentral.